RNAcentral lists this ribosomal RNA (204 nucleotides) under Triticum aestivum (bread wheat). RNAcentral's name for it is "partial small subunit ribosomal RNA". Lineage: Eukaryota; Viridiplantae; Streptophyta; Magnoliopsida; Poales; Poaceae. The record is from RNAcentral.
AUGCCCUUAGGCACGAACAUGCAUAACAUAGAAAUCACACGUGGAAGGGGUGGGCAAUUAGCUAGAGCAGCAGGUGUUGUAGAGAAAAUCAUUGCAAAAGAGGGUAAAUCGGCCACUUUAAGGCCUCAUUUGGUUACCAGGGAUCCCCCCGGAAUCCCCGUCAAAAUCCAGGGCUCAUGGCCCACACGGCAAAUCAGUCAGUGA